Acipenser ruthenus (sterlet) is the source of this 828-nucleotide long non-coding RNA. RefSeq lists it as uncharacterized. Lineage: Eukaryota; Metazoa; Chordata; Actinopteri; Acipenseriformes; Acipenseridae. The transcript is spliced from 3 exons. The record is from RefSeq and is a predicted model, not a curated record.
UGCAGUACCGGCAUCAAAUUAUACGUGCAAAACAGUACAGCGUUACUUCUUGGGGCAUGUGAAUAAAUGUGUGAGCUUUGAUCACAAAUAAAUACGAAAAUGACUACCAUUCCCCUACACUGUGCACCGGCAAAACGCAAAGUCGUUUCAGAUUUGUGUUUAACCGCCACCUCAGGUCCGAGGCUCUCCGAUCCUAUGCCGCCCCUCACCGAAUGUAAUUCCAGCGAGACGCCGAGGCGCCUGGUUGCCACUAGGCCCAGCGUCGGGUCAUUUCGGCAGUGACUUCAUCGCCGUGUGUCCGGCUGAAAGCGUGUGCCUGUGAACGGGGGAAGCAGCUGGACGGUCAAUGACAGGAAAGAAGCCAGCGAAGGGGUGGGAACGAUUUCAACACAUCCUCCAGGGGGAAUGAUCAGAAGGUGCAACACUAUCCGAAAAGCAUGGCUUUGCAAAGAGAUUACAUAGCACCAGACAUCAGGUUUUAAAAUGCAUUUUCUACUAUGACGUGUUUCUUUCAAAACUCCACAACUGGGACCAAAAUAAGCAACAGAGGUGCUUAACAGGUUAGAGUAAUGGAAUUAUUUUGCAGCAGCCUCCAACGCACAGUAUCAGAAUCACACAACAGCAGCACCCAGCGUAGUUGCAACGUUUCUUGACCCAAUGCAGAAGUUUCAUUCCAACAUGUUCUUCAAUAGGGUUGUUUUAUCUAUGGUGUACUGUUCAUGAAUCACUCUGUAUAUCCCUAGAUAGUGGCGCUUAUAAAUAAUAUCUCCUUUGUGUCACUGCAUGUAGAAUUGUACCAUGUUACGUUCCUGUGCUAUAAUUUAUAAU